CCCUUAGAUGUUCUGGGCCGCACGCGCGCUACACUGAUGCAUUCAACGAGCCUAGCCUUGACCGAGAGGUCCGGGUAAUCUUUGAAACUGCAUCGUGAUGGGGCUAGAUUAUUGCAAUUAUUAAUCUUCAACGAGGAAUGCCUAGUAAGCGUGAUUCAUCAAAUCGCGUUGAUUACGUCCCUGCCCUUUGUACACACCGCCCGUCGCUCCUACCGAUUGAGUGUGUUGGUGAGGAGUUCGGAUUGGCUCUUAGUGGUGGUUCGCCACCACCUAGAGCUGAGAAGUUCUCCAAACCGCCCCACUUAGAGGAAGGAGAANUCGUANCA
RNAcentral lists this ribosomal RNA (326 nucleotides) under uncultured eukaryote. RNAcentral's name for it is "partial 18S ribosomal RNA". It matches the Rfam family "Eukaryotic small subunit ribosomal RNA", at positions 1470 to 1796 of the family's 1831-position model. The record is from RNAcentral.